GGAAGUGGCGGAAUUGGUAGACGCACCAGAUUUAGGUUCUGGCGCCGCAAGGUGUGAGAGUUCAAGUCUCUCCUCAUAUUUA
Molecule: transfer RNA, 82 nt
Filed under: Vibrio coralliilyticus
Lineage: Bacteria; Pseudomonadati; Pseudomonadota; Gammaproteobacteria; Vibrionales; Vibrionaceae
Description: tRNA-Leu
Rfam family: tRNA (bases 4-74)
About the family: Transfer RNA (tRNA) molecules are approximately 80 nucleotides in length. Their secondary structure includes four short double-helical elements and three loops (D, anti-codon, and T loops). Further hydrogen bonds mediate the characteristic L-shaped molecular structure. tRNAs have two regions of fundamental functional importance: the anti-codon, which is responsible for specific mRNA codon recognition, and the 3' end, to which the tRNAs corresponding amino acid is attached (by aminoacyl-tRNA synthetases). tRNAs cope with the degeneracy of the genetic code in two manners: having more than one tRNA (with a specific anti-codon) for a particular amino acid; and 'wobble' base-pairing, i.e. permitting non-standard base-pairing at the 3rd anti-codon position.
Source: RNAcentral